RNAcentral lists this ribosomal RNA (372 nucleotides) under Triticum aestivum (bread wheat). RNAcentral describes it as "partial small subunit ribosomal RNA". The record is from RNAcentral. Lineage: Eukaryota; Viridiplantae; Streptophyta; Magnoliopsida; Poales; Poaceae.
CUCUUUGCCCUAACCAUCACAGCCGGUCUCGAAGGCUACCAUGUCAAUGUCAAUGAGCAACAUAUUGCAUCCUUCCCUUACCACAUUGGUUACAACAUCGAGGACGCAACGGGCCUGUCAUUGAACAGAGACCUUGACAUCAAGUCGAUUUCUGUCGCCCAUCUGCCCAAAUCACACCCUAGCUUCGACCCAUAGCGAUACCUUGAAAUGUCUGCACAGUGGAAGGGCUCACCUCUGCCGACUGAACCUGUCGAGCUGUUCAUCGGUAUCCUUUCUGCAGCCAACCAUUUCGCCAAGCGGAUGGCCGUUCGCAAGAAAUCGUCUAACAAUGUUGCCCGGUUCUUUGUCGCUCUGGUAAGUACCUGUGGAUGA